This 58-nucleotide transfer RNA is filed under the name Neotoma lepida (desert woodrat). It matches the Rfam family "tRNA", at positions 8 to 63 of the family's 71-position model. Rfam says of the family: Transfer RNA (tRNA) molecules are approximately 80 nucleotides in length. Lineage: Eukaryota; Metazoa; Chordata; Mammalia; Rodentia; Cricetidae. The record is from Rfam by way of RNAcentral.
UAACCCAGUUGGUAGAGUGCUUGCCUAGCAUGCAUGAGGGCCUGGGUUCAAAUCCCAG